RNAcentral lists this ribosomal RNA (253 nucleotides) under uncultured prokaryote. RNAcentral describes it as "partial 16S ribosomal RNA". It matches the Rfam family "Bacterial small subunit ribosomal RNA", at positions 525 to 777 of the family's 1533-position model. The record is from RNAcentral.
ACGGGGGGGACGAGCGUUGUUCGGAUUUACUGGGCGUAAAGGGCGCGUAGGCGGGUCUUCAAGUCGGAUGUGAAAACUAUCAGCUUAACUGGUAGCCUGCAUUUGAUACUGUUGAUCUUGAGUACGGGUGAGGAGAGUGGAAUUCCAGGUGUAGCGGUGAAAUGCGUAGAUAUCUGGAAGAACACCAGUAGCGAAGGCGGCUCUCUGGACCGAUACUGACGCUCAAGCGCGAAGGCUUGGGGAGCAAACAGGA